GACGAACGCUGGCGGCGUGCUUAACACAUGCAAGUCGAACGAUGAAGCCUAGCUUGCUAGGUGGAUUAGUGGCGAACGGGUGAGUAAUACGUGAGUAACCUACCUUUAACUCUGGGAUAAGCCUGGGAAACUGGGUCUAAUACCGGAUACGACCAAUCUCCGCAUGGGGUGUUGGUGGAAAGCGUUAUGUAGUGGUUAUAGAUGGGCUCACGGCCUAUCAGCUUGUUGGUGAGGUAACGGCUCACCAAGGCGACGACGGGUAGCCGGCCUGAGAGGGUGACCGGCCACACUGGGACUGAGACACGGCCCAGACUCCUACGGGAGGCAGCAGUGGGGAAUAUUGCACAAUGGGCGCAAGCCUGAUGCAGCGACGCCGCGUGAGGGAUGACGGCCUUCGGGUUGUAAACCUCUGUUAGCAGGGAAGAAGAGAGAUUGACGGUACCUGCAGAGAAAGCGCCGGCUAACUACGUGCCAGCAGCCGCGGUAAUACGUAGGGCGCGAGCGUUGUCCGGAAUUAUUGGGCGUAAAGAGCUUGUAGGCGGUUUGUCGCGUCUGCUGUGAAAGACCGGAGCUUAACUCCGUGUAUUGCAGUGGGUACGGGCAGACUAGAGUGCAGUAGGGGAGACUGGAAUUCCUGGUGUAGCGGUGGAAUGCGCAGAUAUCAGGAGGAACACCGAUGGCGAAGGCAGGUCUCUGGGGCUGUAACUGACGCUGAGAAACGAAAGCAUGGGGAGCGAACAGG
RNAcentral lists this ribosomal RNA (742 nucleotides) under Rothia mucilaginosa. RNAcentral's name for it is "bacterial SSU rRNA". It matches the Rfam family "Bacterial small subunit ribosomal RNA", at positions 28 to 776 of the family's 1533-position model. Lineage: Bacteria; Bacillati; Actinomycetota; Actinomycetes; Micrococcales; Micrococcaceae. The record is from RNAcentral.